AAAUAGAUAUUAUUUGUUAAACGAGCAAUCGCAAUCCGAGAGUGAAGUAAAAGAAGAUGAUAACGAAACGGAAACAGCAAAAUCGUGCGAUGGACAAAAUGUUCAGGAAUGUCCGAAGAAAAAGAGGAAGAAAAAAAAGAAGAAAAAUUCUGGGAAACAUGCAGCCAACCAGCAUCGCAGUAGCGAGGAUAAUGCAGAUGUCGAUGAAGUGGAGCGAUCAUUGCGGGAAGUAAAUAGUCUUCUGGGAGAAACACCGCAAAUUGUGACCGAGAGCCGAAAAGCUCAACACCAUCAAAAAUCUAUUUUGAAUAUUCAA
This is a long non-coding RNA of Dendroctonus ponderosae (mountain pine beetle), 316 nucleotides long. RefSeq lists it as uncharacterized. The transcript is spliced from 4 exons. Lineage: Eukaryota; Metazoa; Arthropoda; Insecta; Coleoptera; Curculionidae. The record is from RefSeq and is a predicted model, not a curated record.